This 774-nucleotide long non-coding RNA is filed under the name Brassica rapa (field mustard). RNAcentral's name for it is "long non-coding RNA (BRAP_LNC007357)". The record is from RNAcentral. Lineage: Eukaryota; Viridiplantae; Streptophyta; Magnoliopsida; Brassicales; Brassicaceae.
CUUAAUUAGGUAGAUACACAUUUAGAGUUUUUCUCACUUUGUUCAAAAAUUUUAGGACGCUUAUACCCCUAUUACCUUUCCAUUGGUUACUGUGAAGUUAUUGCAAACAUAUAUUUUUCUGAUAAUUCAAAACAAUCCGAAACUUUUGCAGUCACACAAGUUGUUGUUUUUUGAUAUAUUUUUGAACAACCUCUUUUUCCUAACUUCCUCUUUCUCACCACGAUCCUUCUUCCUUACCUAAUCUCUCAGCUUCGUAUCAAAACUCUCAUCAGUCUCUUUUGAUUUUGAUCUCUUUCUCUUACAUAUAAAUAUAAUAAUUUAUAUUUAUCCCCCAAACAUCGAUAAUCUCUGAUUUCGGGCUCCUUGGUUGUUGCUGCAACAGGACGCUGCUGCGUUGAUCGGAGCGGUCUUUGCAUGCAUGUUGUUCCGGCUCGUUUGGAAGGAUAUGAAGCUCUCUCUCUCUCUUUGCAACAGGUCGUCGGAGACGACAGAUAGUUGUGCUCUACUCUGUGUUUUCCGGGCAUGUGUCAAGUGAUCCUGCUCUGUAUCCAUAAGUGGGUUGAAGUGGUGUAGUUUAGAGAUUUUAAUAAAGAGCGAGGCUUGAACAUCCAUAAUAAAGUUUGAUAGUUGGUGUUGAUCUGCCCUCUGUUUUAAGCAUGUUUUGUUUGAUCUAAAUCUGUGUUUUGUAAAUCCUUAGCUUUGGUUUUGUUUGAACCAAUUAACAGAGAAUUCUAAACUUUUUUAAUUGUGAUUUUCAAAGUUACAUUGCUAAUG